CUCUUGAGGAUAGUAACUUUAUUCCAUUUUUAUUCCAUUUUGGUGUACAGACAUGCCCAAAAAACGGAAAGGCAAGGGAUCCUCCAGAGAUGAUCUCUGGUCAAUAGCUGGAGGAGAGCAAUUGAUUGUGGAGCAUUUCCUUUCAUUGAAUAUUUUAGAUCAAGACCAGUCAUACUGUUCAGAUGUGUGGUCAAAUUUGUCCCAAAAGAUUUUUGGCAAUGUAAAAGAGAAAAACAAGAAAUGGCUCCACUGUCUAUGGACAUACGAUCGGCGAGAUAUUAGGGGAAAGGUCAAGGCAACAUCAUGCAUUUCAAAAGGUCCAGAGUUACCCACAGAUCAAGAUUCUGUCGAAAGUCAGAGGGAAAUGGUGGAAGAGCUAGACACAGAAGACUCUGACAGUGCAGUGUCCCCAAAAAGUGGCAGAUGUGAUGCUUCCAUUAGCGAUCAAGAAUCGGCACUAAAAGAAGGAUUGAGUUGUGUUAAAAAGAGGCACAGCAAGAAAAAAGCUGUUGUGUUGCAGUACACAGAUGACGAUUCUGAAGAAAGUCAGUGGGAAAUUGCAGAAGGGCAAGAGUCAGAAGACUCUGACAGUGCAGUGUCCACAAAAAGUGGCAGAUCUGAUGCUUCCAUUAGCGAUCAAGAAUCUGCACUAAAAGAAGGAUUGAGUUGUGUUAAAAAGAGGCACAGCAAGAAAAAAGCUGUUGUGCUGCAGUACACAGAUGACGAUUCUUCAGAAAGUCAGAGGGAAAUCGCAGAAGGGCAAGAGUCAGAAGACUCUGACAGUCCAGUGUCCCCUAAAAGUGGAAGAUCUGAUGUUUCUUUUAGUGAUCCCGAGCCAGAGAAGGUGAGGCAGAGAAAGGCAAAUGCAAAAGGACAUUUAUCUGAAUUUUUUCUUGUAAAGAGUGAUGGAGUGUUUAGAAAGGUGCCAUCCACGGCCAAGAAAUUCACAAUUUCACUUACACAAAAUCAGUGGAGCAACAUCUCACCUCACAGUGGUGUCAACAAACUUAAAAAAACAUGGACAAAUGUAAUUCACAGUGAAUUUAAAAGAAAAAACCCGAGCUGUGUCCUGCAUUUUACAUACCAGCAUGUCCGUGUUCAUGGCAGCAGGAAAAGAAAUGCACCAUAUUUAACUUUGCUUGCUGUUUGCAAAUUCUCCACCUGUCAGGCAAGGUACAUUAUUAGGAUGAAAAACAAGCCUAGUCGGCGUCAACCCACCAUUAGAAUGGCUGUUAUUCGUCAGGGAGAAAUUAAACAUUUGAAAAAUGAGACACGGUUCAGGCCAGCAACCAAUAUUCGCAGGGGCAAAAUCGCGAAAUCUGUGGUCACAGGAGUGAGUGCAGAGUACUACAGGAGACUGCGCACCACUCCAGUUUCAGAACUUGUGUCAGGCAACCUGACAAAAAGUCUCAAUAAGAACAUCUUGAGAGUAAUCGCUGCAGAAGUGCAGAAAAGCAGAAAAUUACACGACAAUGUUCUCCUAGAAAUGCAGCUUAUGCAAGGCAUAAUGAGGGAAUGUGACAGCAGCUAUUAUACCAUGCCAGGAUAUGUACAUCAUCUUCAGGUGAACCCCUUGGGGAUACACCUGUACACAGAGACAGGCCUAAGCAUCUUGGUGCAUCACCUGAGGAUGAAGAAGCCUGUCUCUUUGUACCUGGAUGCCACAGGGGGGGUGGUGUCAAAGCCUCCUGAAGACAAGCGGAGAGUCCUUUAUUAUGCAAUGGCCUUGCCAGGACAUGGUCAAGAUGCCCCGCCCCUCCCAGUCACCGAGAUGAUCUCCAAUGAGCACAGUGUACCUCCCCUUGCUUUUUGGCUGAUGCAGUUUCUUUUGAAAUUGUCCAAAUAUACUUCUCUCAGGGUACAUAAGGUAGAGACAGAUUAUAGUUGGGCAUUAAUUCAGGCUGUACUAUUAGCAUUCAACAAGGAAAGCAUAGAUGCAUACCUGAAGAGAACAUUUCACAUUAUCCAGAGGCAACAGAAAUGGGUCGAUAUAAAACCCUUCACAGUGCUUCAUCUGUGCUCUGCCCACAUAAUUAAAGCAGUGAAUUGCAGCAUUGGUAGGAAAACCAAUGACAAGUCCCUCAGAGAGUUCUCAACCUUCAUUUUUGCAAGACUGCAGAACACAAUUGAUUUUAAGACUGCAUGUCGCAUUUUUAGACACUUCUGCAUUGCUUUGCUGACAGAACAUCUGAAUGACGACGUCCAAAGCAGUUUGGAUUUUCUGAAGGCACUUAUCUACAAUAGCAAGAGUCAAGAGCAGGAGGAUCAUAUGGAGGCAGAGUUGUACAGUUGGGAGGAUGCAGAAAUCGGGAGGUCUGUCAAAACACUUGUUGGAAGCUCUCCAUACACAAGAGAAUUCAAAGGAAUCUAUGAGGAAGUAAGAUCAGCGGCAGAAGGACAGCAGGAAAAUGUUCACGGUUCAAAUCCAUACCAUUGCCCCAGAAUAAUACAAGUUCUUCUGGACAAUUACAUGGCCAUUUACCCUCUUUGGAGUGGUGCCAUGUUGGGAGACCUACAGAGGUAUGCCACAGACAAAACACACAGAGAAAACGACCUGGAACAAGACCAAACUAGAGACACAAAUUGCCAUAUUGAGAAUUGGUUUAAGAUUGUUAAACACAACAUUCUCCACAAAAAACGAUACCUCAGGUCAUCAGAAUUCAUCCGAAAAAUGUAUUGUUCACUCAAAGGAAGAUAUACUGAACAUAUCCUCAGAAAUCAACUUCCAGAGGACCUCCUUAUCAGACCACUAUGUCCCAAAAAUUAUGUGGAUUUAGCUGAAGAGAGAUGGGCAAAGCGCGGAUCCCCAAGACAAGCUGACAAAUCCAAAUACUAUGGUGCACCUAAAAGUGAACAAAAAACAAAAAGAAAAGAGAUAGAGAGCAGGGCAAAAGCAAAAAAAGGCAAAUUGACAUCAGAAACAAAGACAAGAGCAAAGCAGAAACAGGAUGGCAGAGAAAAAGGAGAAAUGACAGAGAUAGGGACAACAGCAAAGCAGAAACAGGACUGCAGUGAAAAAGGAGAAAUGACCGAGAUCGGGACAAGAGAAAAGCAGAAGCAGGACAGCAGGCAAAAAGGAGAAAUGACUUCAGAGAUAGUGACGAGAGAAAAGCAGAAACAGGACAGCAGGGAAAAAGGAGAAAUGACUUCAGAGAUAGUGACGAGAGAAAAGCAGAAACAGGACAGCAGGGAAAAAGGAGAAAUGACUUCAGAGAUAGGGACAAGAGCAAAGCAGAAACAAGACAGCAGGCAAAAAGGAGAAAUGACUUCAGAGAUAGUGACAAGAGCAAAGCAGAAACAGGACAGCAGGGAAAAGGGAGAAAUGAGAGAGAAAGGGACAAGAGCAAAGCAGAAACAGGACAGUAGGGAAAAGGGAGAAAUGAGAGAGAAAGGGACAAGAGCAAAGCAGAAACAGGACAGCAGGGAAAAGGGAGAAAUGACAGAGAAAGGGACAAGAGCAGAACAGGAACAGGACAGCAGAGAACAAGGAGAAAUGACUUCACAAACAGAUACAAUAGGCACAGAGAAACAGAAGUGGAGAGAAGAGGUAAAGAUGCUGUGGGAACAACCUCAAACAGAAGUAGUAGUGGCAGUUAUUAAAUCACCUCCUCAUGCCUUUACUCUGAGGCAUGCAGACUUGGUAACACUACGACCACAUGAACUUCUUAAUGGUGAGGCAAUCGAAUGCUACAUUCGGGCUGCUCUUAAUAAAUUUGAAAAGUCUGGACGUCUGCUCCAGAUGGAUCACUAUGUUACUGGUGUGAUCCUUGAAGGCACAAGACAACAAAUGUCUCGACACCAAAUGAAAAAAGUGGACUUUGACUGUUUUGAUGGUGCAGUGUCUUUUGUAAAUAUCAAUGACAGUCACUGGAGGUUUGUGUAUCUUCAUGCUCCGUCAGCCCAAGUGUUUGUCAUUGACCCUGCUUCUUCAGAGAUUGACCAUGACAUCUCAAAUAAGGCUGCAAUGACUUACCGAUUGUAUUUCAAAAUGCGCCAAAACAUACAAGGCAGGCAGCACUGGAGCAGCAUUAAGUGGACAGCAGGAACCAUAAAGCACAAUGAACAAAAGGACAGCACAAGUUGUGGAGUGUUUGUGAUGCAGAUGGCAAGAAAGGUUGCUGAAAGUUUUCCACAAAUUCCUGCAUCAAUGACCAUAAAUCCAACAAGCAGCAGCAUAAGAAAGCUGCGGGCUGAAAUGGCAGAGACAAUGCUCUCUUCCUCAGUACCAAGAGAUGAGUAUUGCUCAAUCUGUGGACUCAAAGAUGUCCCAAAAACGGCAACAACUGAAGCAGUUGUUAUUGACUGGACCCAAUGUGAGACAUGCAAGCGGUGGUUUCACGAUAUCUGCAUUACCCUAAAUAAAAGUAACUCCCCAGAAACUGACUUGCCAUGGCACUGUCUUUUAUGUUAAGACAGAAUGAAAAAGGCACCAGGACACAAGGAAAGUAAGAAGACGGAAAGAAAACUAAAUAUAGAGUUACGAUAGAGAUCGUCAAUGUUACAUUUUGAUGUGAUUUUGAAAAUAAUAAUAAAUUAAGAGAAAGAAAUGUCUGAUUUCUUAGCCAUUUAUCGGAUCUCAGGACAAUCAGCCCAAAUAGAAAAGGAUACUUUUAAAGCCAUUUGAAGAGGAUGGAUAAUAGGUUAUUCAACUGCAAAAAAUAAGAAAAUGCUAUAAAAUAAUCUUAUGACUGAAUUAAAGAUUUUAGUAACUCAACCAAUGUUUCCAAAAACGUGCUACACUUAAGAUUUCACGAUUACUGACAAGAUCAGCCUUGCAAGCAGUUAUACAUGAGAAGUGAAAAUUUACUGUUUCAACUUGGCAUGUUCCAUACUACCCACAUACUAAAAAGCUGAAAAGAUAUAUUUGAAAAAUAAGCCUUGUGGCACAGGGGGGUUAUUAUUAUCUGUCUUAUACAGUUGGUUUGAUAUCUUGAGGUCAAUAGGUCAAGGAGCAUAAUACGUUUAUUUAUUUAUUUUAUUUGUGAAAAAUUCCCGAAAUGAUAUAUUUGAAAAAUAAGCCUUGUGGCACAGGGGGGUUAUUAUUAUCUGUGUUAUACAGUUGGUUUGAUAUCUUGAGGUCAAAAGGUCAAGGAGCAUAAUACGUUUAUUUAUUUAUUUUAUUUGUGAAAAAUUGCCGAAAUGAUAUAUUUGAAAAACAAGCCUUGUGGCACAUGGGGGUUAUUAUUAUCUGUGUUAUACAGUUGGUUUGAUAUCUUGAGGUCAAAAGGUCAAGGAGCAUAAUACAUUUAUUUAUUUAUUUUAUUUGUGAAAAAUUCCCGAAAUGAUAUAUUUGAAAAAUA
Molecule: long non-coding RNA, 5300 nt
Organism: Gadus morhua (Atlantic cod)
Lineage: Eukaryota; Metazoa; Chordata; Actinopteri; Gadiformes; Gadidae
Source: Ensembl